RNAcentral lists this ribosomal RNA (497 nucleotides) under uncultured bacterium. RNAcentral's name for it is "partial 16S ribosomal RNA". It matches the Rfam family "Bacterial small subunit ribosomal RNA", at positions 28 to 507 of the family's 1533-position model. The record is from RNAcentral.
GAUGAACGCUGGCGGCGUGCCUAAUACAUGCAAGUCGAGCGAACAGACGAGGAGCUUGCUCCUCUGACGUUAGCGGCGGACGGGUGAGUAACACGUGGAUAACCUACCUAUAAGACUGGGAUAACUUCGGGAAACCGGAGCUAAUACCGGAUAAUAUAUUGAACCGCAUGGUUCAAUAGUGAAAGACGGUUUUGCUGUCACUUAUAGAUGGAUCCGCGCCGCAUUAGCUAGUUGGUAAGGUAACGGCUUACCAAGGCAACGAUGCGUAGCCGACCUGAGAGGGUGAUCGGCCACACUAGAACUGAGACACGGUCCAGACUACUACGGGAGGCAGCAGUAGGGAAUCUUCCGCAAUGGGCGAAAGCUUGACGGAGCAACGCCGCGUGAGUGAUGAAGGUUUUCGGAUCGUAAAACUCUGUUAUUAGGGAAGAACAAAUGUGUAAGUAACUAUGCACGUCUUGACGGUACCUAAUCAGAAAGCCACGGCUAACUACGUG